UACGUAGGGUGCGAGCGUUGUCCGGAAUCAUUGGGCGUAAAGAGCUCGUAGGCGGCCUGUCGCGUCGGAUGUGAAAACCCGGGGCUCAACCUCGGGCCUGCAUUCGAUACGGGCAGGCUGGAGUUCGGCAGGGGAGACUGGAAUUCCUGGUGUAGCGGUGAAAUGCGCAGAUAUCAGGAGGAACACCGAUGGCGAAGGCAGGUCUCUGGGCAUUAACUGACGCUGAGGAGCGAAAGCAUGGGGAGCGAACAGG
This 253-nucleotide ribosomal RNA is filed under the name uncultured bacterium. Its description in RNAcentral is "partial 16S ribosomal RNA". It matches the Rfam family "Bacterial small subunit ribosomal RNA", at positions 524 to 776 of the family's 1533-position model. The record is from RNAcentral.